Molecule: transfer RNA, 75 nt
Filed under: Ptilocaulis walpersi
Lineage: Eukaryota; Metazoa; Porifera; Demospongiae; Axinellida; Axinellidae
Description: tRNA-Thr
Rfam family: tRNA
About the family: Transfer RNA (tRNA) molecules are approximately 80 nucleotides in length. Their secondary structure includes four short double-helical elements and three loops (D, anti-codon, and T loops). Further hydrogen bonds mediate the characteristic L-shaped molecular structure. tRNAs have two regions of fundamental functional importance: the anti-codon, which is responsible for specific mRNA codon recognition, and the 3' end, to which the tRNAs corresponding amino acid is attached (by aminoacyl-tRNA synthetases). tRNAs cope with the degeneracy of the genetic code in two manners: having more than one tRNA (with a specific anti-codon) for a particular amino acid; and 'wobble' base-pairing, i.e. permitting non-standard base-pairing at the 3rd anti-codon position.
Source: RNAcentral
GGCUUUAUAGCUCAAUUAGGAUAGAGCAUUUACCUUGUAAGUAAGAGAUUAUAGGUUCAAUUCCUAUUAAAGUCU